UUCGAGGCCCUGUGCCUCAACCCUGAGGUGUUGAGGUUGGCCUACCUCAACAUGCGGCACUACGGGCAGCAAGGGAUGGGCGCAAGUGCCAGCGAAUACCAGACACCCUGAAGCCGGUGGAUGAUCAUCUCGACAUGUUCCUUGUGGUGCCAGCAACACUUGCACCGCUGGUGUGGCAUUCUUUGCACGCUAUGCUGGGAUAGUUUUUUAGGAGUGCCAUGUCUGGACAGCUUAUUCAGAAGCAGGCUGUCGUCGUCGAGAUCCAUGCUUUUUUUUAACGGAUGAUGUUGCAGUGCCCACAUGGGCACUACAGAUUUGCAGCCUACAGGCAGUGUGCCCUGUGGCUGUGGAGCCGCUUGGGAAAGAAGAAUAGGCGGCCCCUGCCAUCCUGUGUGGUCAAGACAAUUAGGGGCAGGUACCCUGCUGACGUGUAUGCGGGCUACAGGGAUGCAGAAUAAAUUGCGUUGACCUAGAGACCACGCAACCCCCUUCCCUUGUCUCUUCACCCUCCCUGCAUGUGUGUGAAGUCGCUCGUAGCCAUGAACGGAAUCCUCUAAAUCACGUGACCUAUUAUCUACGAUAUCACGUGACCAUAACUAUGAUCACAUGAUCGUAGUCAAACC
Molecule: long non-coding RNA, 623 nt
Filed under: Ixodes scapularis (black-legged tick)
Lineage: Eukaryota; Metazoa; Arthropoda; Arachnida; Ixodida; Ixodidae
Description: uncharacterized LOC121836847
Source: RNAcentral